UACGUAGGGGGGCUAGCGUUGUCCGGAAUCAUUGGGCGUAAAGAGCGUGUAGGCGGUCCGGUAAGUCCGCUGUGAAAGUCGGGGGGCUCAACCCUCGAAUGCCGGUGGAUACUGUCGGGCUAGAGUGCGGAAGAGGCGAGUGGAAUUCCUGGUGUAGCGGUGAAAUGCGCAGAUAUCGAGGAGAACACCUUAUGCGAAGGCAGCUCGCUGGGACGUAACUGACGCUGAGACGCGAAAGCCAGGGGAGCAAACGGG
Molecule: ribosomal RNA, 255 nt
Filed under: uncultured bacterium
Lineage: Bacteria
Description: partial 16S ribosomal RNA
Rfam family: Bacterial small subunit ribosomal RNA
Source: RNAcentral